AAAAGCUCGUAGUUGGAUUUCUGCUUAGGUCGGCCGGUCCACAUUUCGUGUGUGAUCUGGUUCGAUCUGGGCAUCCUCUUGGGGAACGCUUUUGUCCUUAAGUGCGACUGAGUGGGAUUCAAGACUUUUACUUUGAGGAAAUUAGAGUGUUCACGGCAAGCAAGCGCGAUUGAAUACAUUAGCAUGGAAUAAUAAUAUAGGAUCUCAGUUCUAUUUUGUUGGUUUCUAGAACUAAGGUAAUGAUUAAUAGGGACAAUUGGGGGCAUUCGUAUUAACGCGUCAGAGGUGGAAUUCUUAGAUUGCGUUACGACGAACUACUGCGAAAGCAUUUGCCAAGGAUGUUUUCAUUGAUCAAGAACGAAAGUUAGGGGAUCGAAGACGAUCAGAUACCGUCCUAGUCUUAACCAUAAACUAUGCCGACUAGAGAUUGGUGGCGCUGCUUUUCCGACGCUAUCAACAUCUUGAGAGAAAUCAAAGUCUUUGGGUUCCGGGGGGAGUAUGGUCGCAAGGCUGAAACUUAAAGGAAUUGACGGAAGGGCACCACCAGGAGUGGAGCCUGCGGCUUAAUUUGACUCAACACGGGAAAACUCACCAGGUCCAGACAUAGCAAGGAUUGACAGAUUGAUAGCUCU
Molecule: ribosomal RNA, 632 nt
Filed under: uncultured marine eukaryote
Lineage: Eukaryota
Description: bacterial SSU rRNA
Rfam family: Eukaryotic small subunit ribosomal RNA
Source: RNAcentral